UUGUGUAAAUGGUAAACCAUUCGUAAGGAUGGGGCACAAAGCUAUAGGGUCCUAAGAGAAAAUAGGACAGCCAGUUGCCACA
RNAcentral lists this non-coding RNA (82 nucleotides) under Candidatus Omnitrophota bacterium. Its description in RNAcentral is "Omnitrophica WOR c-di-GMP sequence". It matches the Rfam family "c-di-GMP-I riboswitch aptamer". Rfam says of the family: GEMM was predicted in a large-scale screen for bacterial structured RNA regulatory elements. Genes associated with GEMM are involved in a diverse array of functions, including chemotaxis regulation, signal transduction, secretion and chitin. The record is from RNAcentral. Lineage: Bacteria; Pseudomonadati; Candidatus Omnitrophota.